This is a long non-coding RNA of Eptesicus fuscus (big brown bat), 695 nucleotides long. RefSeq lists it as uncharacterized. The record is from RefSeq and is a predicted model, not a curated record. The transcript has 4 exons. Lineage: Eukaryota; Metazoa; Chordata; Mammalia; Chiroptera; Vespertilionidae.
UCUGGCUUCAUCUCAGGUUUGCUGCUUCUAGUCCACAGUGAGAUGGGAAAUCAGCCAAAAAUCUGGAAUCUGGCAUCAAAUGAAAGCAAACCCCUUCAUGUGGAGUUGGAGGCUCUGUUGGGCUAAUCCCAAGCAAGCAGCUCCAGAGAUCAACAAAGAAGUGUCAAGUAGACAAAUAGAGAUGAGGCCAACCACAGCAGGGGGUGUUCCAAAGCCUGUUUCCUUCAGCCAAAGGUGAUCCUGGGGCAAUUACUCUUCUUCGUGUGACAGCAGCUUCCACUAACAGGGUGUAAUGUCUGGAGCUCUAGCUAUGACCUUGUGCCAUGUCGAUGAAACCUGGCCCUGAAGACUCAGAGGAUUACCUGGAUGAAGGCUGGGUUCCUGGAGACUUGGCUAAGCCUUGGACUUCUGACUUACCAGCUUUCAUGUGACGAAGAGAUCAACAGCUGUCUUAUGCUUUUUAUUUUUAGGUUCAUACAACCAAGAGUAACCCUCAUUGAUAGAACACCAAGGGAGGGAGAGGGAGGCUCAGAGGCAAAGUUGACCUUCUUCACGGAUGGACGUGCCCAAGGAUGGGCUUGAUAACAUGAUCCAACAGAGCCCUGGGCAUCGGCCUGUGCACUGAAAGCUUGCUGGUUCAAUUCCGGUAAGGGCACAUGCCUGGGCCUCGCUCUCCUAUCAAUGUUUCUGUCUCU